RNAcentral lists this small RNA (78 nucleotides) under Xanthomonas hortorum. RNAcentral describes it as "sX9 sRNA". It matches the Rfam family "Xanthomonas sRNA sX9". Lineage: Bacteria; Pseudomonadati; Pseudomonadota; Gammaproteobacteria; Lysobacterales; Lysobacteraceae. RNAcentral also lists the same sequence under 1 other name. The record is from RNAcentral.
AUGUACUGCACACGUACACACCGGUUCCUCCGCGCCGUCUGCACGCACCUGACGACUGCUUGCCACGUUUUGCCAGCC